Oncorhynchus kisutch (coho salmon) is the source of this 1427-nucleotide long non-coding RNA. RefSeq lists it as uncharacterized. Lineage: Eukaryota; Metazoa; Chordata; Actinopteri; Salmoniformes; Salmonidae. The record is from RefSeq and is a predicted model, not a curated record. The transcript is spliced from 6 exons.
CACUCCAGCUGGAGACAGUAUCACAGCUGCGAAUGGCUCAAAAAAAAAUUCCCCGGGAGAAUCGUCUGAAGUCACUUUGGCACCGAACAUUUCAAUCGCAUUUCUGCACAGCAAGGAAGCCGGUCCCAGAGAGGGAGCUGGACAGCAGGAGUGGCAGUGAGGAGGUGGUGAAGGAAGAACAAGGACCUCAGAAAAAAAGAGCACGGGUUGACAAAACACAGGACAGCACAGCUCCCAGGAAAGCAGCUGUGAAGAUGGAGAAACCAGAGGAGAAAAGCGUGGAAGACAAAUAGGAGUAAAAGCGUGGAAGACAAAACAAAAUUGUGGAAGACAAAAAUGAGAAGAGUGAGGGAGAAGGAAAGCUGAGCACAGAGAAGUGGAAAAGGUGGCUAGUAUCACUGAGGACGUUAAAGACAAUAAAGGAGAGAAGACGGACCAGGCCCAGUACGACCCGUCCAGACCCAACUAUCACCCGGUGGACCACGCCUGCUGGGGGUGGGGACAGAGGGUCCCUUAUUCAGCUGUUGCACAUACCUUUGAGAAGAUUGACGAAGACUGGCAGAUAAGUGGAAUUUAAUAUACCUCCGAAGUGGUGACUGUUUGUUCUUGUGUAAUUUUUCCUUAUACUUCGUCUUACAUACUAAUUGCAUUCCUUUUUUUGCCAGAUUGAGGAGCAUUGAAACAUUAUCAAAUCUUCUACGCUCUGAUAAUCCUCUCUCCAGAUGAAAUAGUUUUCUUAGCUUUUUCCCUAAUGUUUGUGCAUGUGGAGCUAGCAGCAACUACAUGAGCUAUUGGCCCAGUUGCAGGAUGCAACCUAACUUAUUGAGAUGAGUCAGAUGGCCUGUGUCCCAAAUGGCAUCCUAUUUCCUACAUAGUCCAGUUCUUUUGACCAGAACCCUGGUCAAAAGUAGUGCAUUAUAUAAGGAAGAGGGUGCUUAUAAGCUCUGGUCAAAAGUAGUGCCCUAUAGGGAGUGAUUUGGGACGCAACCAGAGUGUAGAUGAGUCCAAUGUGUGUGCUGAGUUGAGUUUUCUCUCUUUCUCUUCUUCCUCAGAGGACCUGCUGAGCUGUGUUUACCUGUGUCUCAAUUAGUUGGGUCCUGCUUACCUGGGACUGGAGCUGGGAGUGGGAGAAACUGUACUGAUGAAAGCUGUUGCCCAAGCAAUUGGGCGACAGUUGGACAAAAUCAAGGCGGAGGCUGCAGAGAAGGGCGACUCGGGGUUGGUGGCGGAGAGUUCCCGUAGCAACCAGAGAAUGUUCCAGCCAGCCAAUCUGACGGCAGGGGGCGUGUUCAACAAACUGAAAGACAUCAGGAACAUGAGUGGGAACUCUGAGUUGUCUGUCUUUGUCUGUCUGAUGUUUACAUGAACAUCCUCAAUGUUUUUGAUACAUUUACUGAUUAAAAACCAGUCUUCUGCUGUCCAGGAAA